CGUAGCUCAGCUGGAUAGAGCACACGCCUUCUAAGCGUGCGGUCGCGGGUUCGAAUCC
This 58-nucleotide transfer RNA is filed under the name Sharpea azabuensis. Its description in RNAcentral is "tRNA_Arg_TCT". It matches the Rfam family "tRNA", at positions 7 to 60 of the family's 71-position model. Rfam says of the family: Transfer RNA (tRNA) molecules are approximately 80 nucleotides in length. Their secondary structure includes four short double-helical elements and three loops (D, anti-codon, and T loops). Further hydrogen bonds mediate the characteristic L-shaped molecular structure. tRNAs have two regions of fundamental functional importance: the anti-codon, which is responsible for specific mRNA codon recognition, and the 3' end, to which the tRNAs corresponding amino acid is attached (by aminoacyl-tRNA synthetases). tRNAs cope with the degeneracy of the genetic code in two manners: having more than one tRNA (with a specific anti-codon) for a particular amino acid; and 'wobble' base-pairing, i.e. permitting non-standard base-pairing at the 3rd anti-codon position. The record is from RNAcentral. Lineage: Bacteria; Bacillati; Bacillota; Erysipelotrichia; Erysipelotrichales; Coprobacillaceae.